GACGAACGCUGGCGGCGUGCUUAACACAUGCAAGUCGAACGGAAAGGCCCUGCUUUUGUGGGGUGCUCGAGUGGCGAACGGGUGAGUAACACGUGAGUAACCUGCCCUUGACUUUGGGAUAACUUCAGGAAACUGGGGCUAAUACCGGAUAGGAGCUCCUGCUGCAUGGUGGGGGUUGGAAAGUUUCGGCGGUUGGGGAUGGACUCGCGGCUUAUCAGCUUGUUGGUGGGGUAGUGGCUUACCAAGGCUUUGACGGGUAGCCGGCCUGAGAGGGUGACCGGCCACAUUGGGACUGAGAUACGGCCCAGACUCCUACGGGAGGCAGCAGUGGGGAAUAUUGCACAAUGGGCGGAAGCCUGAUGCAGCAACGCCGCGUGCGGGAUGACGGCCUUCGGGUUGUAAACCGCUUUCGCCUGUGACGAAGCGUGAGUGACGGUAAUGGGUAAAGAAGCACCGGCUAACUACGUGCCAGCAGCCGCGGUGAUACGUAGGGUGCGAGCGUUGUCCGGAUUUAUUGGGCGUAAAGGGCUCGUAGGUGGUUGAUCGCGUCGGAAGUGUAAUCUUGGGGCUUAACCCUGAGCGUGCUUUCGAUACGGGUUGACUUGAGGAAGGUAGGGGAGAAUGGAAUUCCUGGUGGAGCGGUGGAAUGCGCAGAUAUCAGGAGGAACACCAGUGGCGAAGGCGGUUCUCUGGGCCUUUCCUGACGCUGAGGAGCGAAAGCGUGGGGAGCGAACAGGCUUAGAUACCCUGGUAGUCCACGCUGUAAACGGUGGGUACUAGGUGUGGGGUCCAUUCCACGGGUUCCGUGCCGUAGCUAACGCUUUAAGUACCCCGCCUGGGGAGUACGGCCGCAAGGCUAAAACUCAAAGGAAUUGACGGGGCCCCGCACAAGCGGCGGAGCAUGCGGAUUAAUUCGAUGCAACGCGUAGAACCUUACCUGGGUUUGACAUGGAUCGGGAGUGCUCAGAGAUGGGUGUGCCUCUUUUGGGGUCGGUUCACAGGUGGUGCAUGGCUGUCGUCAGCUCGUGUCGUGAGAUGUUGGGUUAAGUCCCGCAACGAGCGCAACCCUUGUUCACUGUUGCCAGCACGUUAUGGUGGGGACUCAGUGGAGACCGCCGGGGUCAACUCGGAGGAAGGUGGGGAUGACGUCAAGUCAUCAUGCCCCUUAUGUCCAGGGCUUCACGCAUGCUACAAUGGCUGGUACAGAGAGUGGCGAGCCUGUGACGGUGAGCGAAUCUCGGAAAGCCGGUCUCAGUUCGGAUUGGGGUCUGCAACUCGACCUCAUGAAGUCGGAGUCGCUAGUAAUCGCAGAUCAGCAACGCUGCGGUGAAUACGUUCCCGGG
RNAcentral lists this ribosomal RNA (1343 nucleotides) under uncultured bacterium. Its description in RNAcentral is "16S ribosomal RNA". It matches the Rfam family "Bacterial small subunit ribosomal RNA", at positions 28 to 1378 of the family's 1533-position model. The record is from RNAcentral.